RNAcentral lists this ribosomal RNA (253 nucleotides) under uncultured Lachnospiraceae bacterium. Its description in RNAcentral is "partial 16S ribosomal RNA". It matches the Rfam family "Bacterial small subunit ribosomal RNA", at positions 524 to 776 of the family's 1533-position model. The record is from RNAcentral. Lineage: Bacteria; Bacillati; Bacillota; Clostridia; Lachnospirales; Lachnospiraceae.
UACGUAGGGGGCAAGCGUUAUCCGGAUUUACUGGGUGUAAAGGGAGCGUAGGCGGCUUAGUAAGUCAGAAGUGAAAGCCCGCAGCUCAACUGCGGGACUGCUUUUGAAACUGCCAAGCUAGAGUACAGGAGAGGAAAGCGGAAUUCCUAGUGUAGCGGUGAAAUGCGUAGAUAUUAGGAAGAACACCAGUGGCGAAGGCGGCUUUCUGGACUGAAACUGACGCUGAGGCACGAAAGCGUGGGGAGCGAACAGG